RNAcentral lists this ribosomal RNA (497 nucleotides) under uncultured bacterium. RNAcentral's name for it is "partial 16S ribosomal RNA". It matches the Rfam family "Bacterial small subunit ribosomal RNA", at positions 28 to 507 of the family's 1533-position model. The record is from RNAcentral.
GAUGAACGCUGGCGGCGUGCCUAAUACAUGCAAGUCGAGCGAACAGACGAUGAUCUUGCUCCUCUGACGUUAGCGGCGGACGGGUGAGUCACACGUGGAUAACCUACCUAUAAGACUGGGAUAACUUCGGGAAACCGGAGUUAAUACCGGAUAAUAUAUUGAACUGCAUGGUUCAAUAGUGAAAGACGGUUUUGCUGUCACUUAUAGAUGGAUCCGCGCCGCAUUAGCUAGUUGCUAAGGUAACGGCUUACCAAGGCAACAAUGCGUAGCUGACCGGAGAGGGUGAGCGGCCACACGAGAGCUGAGGCACGGUCCAGACUCCUACGGCAGGCAGCAGUAGGGAAUCUGGCGGAAUGGGCGAAGACCUGACGGAGCGACGCCGCGUGAGUGAUGAAGGUCUUGGGAUCGUAGAACUCUGUUAUGAGGGAAGAACAAAUGUGUAAGUAACUAUGCACGUCUUGACGGUACCUAAUCAGAAAGCCACGGCUAACUACGUG